RNAcentral lists this ribosomal RNA (472 nucleotides) under uncultured bacterium. Its description in RNAcentral is "partial 16S ribosomal RNA". It matches the Rfam family "Bacterial small subunit ribosomal RNA", at positions 28 to 507 of the family's 1533-position model. The record is from RNAcentral.
GACGAACGCUGGCGGCGUGCUUAACACAUGCAAGUCGAGCGGAAAGGCCCUUCGGGGUACUCGAGCGGCGAACGGGUGAGUAACACGUGAGUAAUCUGCCCUUGGCUUUGGGAUAACUACCGGAAACGGUGGCUAAUACCGGAUACGACAACCGUCUGCAUGGGCUGGUUGUGGAAAGUUUUUUCGGCCAGGGAUGUGCUCGCGGCCUAUCAGCUUGUUGGUGGGGUAAUGGCCUACCAAGGCUUCGACGGGUAGCCGGCCUGGGAGGGUGGCCGGCCACACUGGGGCGUGGGCACGGGCCAGACUCCUACGGGGGGCAACAGGUGGGAAUAUUGGGCAAUGGGCGGAAGCCUGGUCCAGCAACGCCGCGGGAAGGGUGACGGGCUUCGGGGUUGAAACCUCUUUCAGUACCGACGAAGCGCCGGUGGUGGGGGUGGCGGUAGGUACAGGAGAAGGACCGGGCAACUACGUU